This is a non-coding RNA of Trichonephila clavipes, 83 nucleotides long. The record is from the annotation of a GenBank genome assembly. NCBI's taxonomy places the organism in Eukaryota, Metazoa, Arthropoda, Arachnida, Araneae, Nephilidae.
UUCAGGAUGGCCCAGCGGUUACGGCAUCGGUCUGCUGAUCCCAUUGACAGUUGUGUUCGUAGGUUCGAUUCCUGCUCCUGAAC